Molecule: ribosomal RNA, 514 nt
Filed under: uncultured bacterium
Lineage: Bacteria
Description: partial 16S ribosomal RNA
Rfam family: Bacterial small subunit ribosomal RNA
Source: RNAcentral
GAUGAACGCUGGCGGCGUGCCUAAUACAUGCAAGUCGAGCGAAUGGAUUAAGAGCUUGCUCUUAUGAAGUUAGCGGCGGACGGGUGAGUAACACGUGGGUAACCUGCCCAUAGACUGGGAUAACUCCGGGAAACCGGGGCUAAUACCGGAUAACAUUUUGAACCGCAUGGAUCGAAAUGGAAAGGCGGCUUCGGCUGUCACUUAGGGAUGGACCCGCGUCGCAUUAGCUAGUUGGUGAGGUAACGGCUCACCAAGGCAACGAUGCGUAGCCGACCUGGGAGGGUGAUCGGCCACACUGGGACUGAGACACGGCCCAGACUCCUACGGGAGGCAGCGGUAGGGAAUCUUCCGCAAUGGACGAAAGUCUGACGGAGCAACGCCGCGUGAGUGAUGAAGGCUUUCGGGUCGUAAAACUCUGUUGUUAGGGAAGAACAAGUGCUAGUUGAAUAAGCUGACACCUUGACGGUACCUAACCAGAAAGCCACGGCUAACUACGUGCCAGCCGCCGCGGUAA